Molecule: non-coding RNA, 436 nt
Organism: Bos indicus x Bos taurus (hybrid cattle)
Lineage: Eukaryota; Metazoa; Chordata; Mammalia; Artiodactyla; Bovidae
Gene: SCARNA2
Product: small Cajal body-specific RNA 2
Source: Ensembl
CUUCACCGGAGGGAGAGCGGGCUGGAAGUGAGGUUGCUGUAAAUUGCUGUGUGGUGUUGUGUGUGUUGGGGGGGUGGGGAGGGGGGGUGCGCGUGUAGGCCGAGUGUGUGAGUGGAUGCGUGAAUGUCUGAGUGGGUGCGUGAAUGUGUGCGUGCGUGCGCUCGCCCCUGCACCCCUCCCCCGGCCUACACGUUGAUCUUAUUUGAUCGGGUUGGGACUCCAGCCCCGCCGGUCCGACCCGAAAUGAAAAGCUUCCCUCCUGCGAAGCCCUUCCUCGGGGCGCUGUGCAGCGAGGCCCCUUGGGCGGUGGCAACGCCGUGGCCCCGGAGGUUCCGAGCGGUCCUGUGGGGCCCGGCGCUCAGAAGUGAUGAAUUGAUCAGAUAGACGAGGCCGGGCUUGUCCCGCGCCAUUGAUUAUCGAGGCGAUUCUGAUCUGA